Chelonoidis abingdonii (Abingdon island giant tortoise) is the source of this 107-nucleotide non-coding RNA. NCBI's taxonomy places the organism in Eukaryota, Metazoa, Chordata, Testudines, Testudinidae. The record is from RefSeq and is a predicted model, not a curated record.
AGGUUAACAAUUUCACCUUCUACACCUUUUGCACACUGCUUAAUUUCUCUUUCAUACACUUUAUUCAGCAAUUUUCCUGCAACAUCUGCUCAUUUAUGAGCACUGUA